GGUUACCCGCCUUAAAAGGGUGAUCCGGCCCACCUGGGACUGAGACCCGGCCCAGACUCCUACGGGAGGCAGCAGUGGGGAAUUUUGCCCAAUGGGCGGAAGCCUGAUGCAGCAACGCCGCUUGAGGGAUGACGGCCUUCGGGUUGUAAACCUCUUUUAGCAGGGAAGAAGCGAAAGUGACGGUACCUGCAGAAAAAGCGCCGGCUAACUACGUGCCAGCAGCCGCGGUAAUACGUAGGGCGCAAGCGUUAUCCGGAAUUAUUGGGCGUAAAGAGCUCGUAGGCGGUUUGUCGCGUCUGCUGUGAAAUCCCGAGGCUCAACCUCGGGCCUGCAGUGGGUACGGGCAGACUAGAGUGCGGUAGGGGAGAUUGGAAUUCCUGGUGUAGCGGUGGAAUGCGCAGAUAUCAGGAGGAACACCGAUGGCGAAGGCAGAUCUCUGGGCCGUAACUGACGCUGAGGAGCGAAAGGGUGGGGAGCAAACAGGCUUAGAUACCCUGGUAGUCCACCCCGUAAACGUUGGGAACUAGUUGUGGGGUCCAUUCCACGGAUUCCGUGACGCAGCUAACGCAUUAAGUUCCCCGCCUGGGGAGUACGGCCGCAAGGCUAAAACUCAAAGGAAUUGACGGGGACCCGCACAAGCGGCGGAGCAUGCGGAUUAAUUCGAUGCAACGCGAAGAACCUUACCAAGGCUUGACAUAUACGAGAACGGGCCAGAAAUGGUCAACUCUUUGGACACUCGUAAACAGGUGGUGCAUGGUUGUCGUCAGCUCGUGUCGUGAGAUGUUGGGUUAAGUCCCGCAACGAGCGCAACCCUCGUUCUAUGUUGCCAGCACGUAAUGGUGGGAACUCAUGGGAUACUGCCGGGGUCAACUCGGAGGAAGGUGGGGAUGACGUCAAAUCAUCAUGCCCCUUAUGUCUUGGGCUUCACGCAUGCUACAAUGGCCGGUACAAAGGGCUGCAAUACCGCGAGGUGGAGCGAAUCCCAAAAAGCCGGUCCCAGUUCGGAUUGAGGUCUGCAACUCGACCUCAUGAAGUCGGAGUCGCUAGUAAUCGCAGAUCAGCAACGCUGCGGUGAAUACGUUCCCGGGUCUUGUACA
This 1097-nucleotide ribosomal RNA is filed under the name Microbacterium foliorum. RNAcentral describes it as "bacterial SSU rRNA". It matches the Rfam family "Bacterial small subunit ribosomal RNA", at positions 281 to 1387 of the family's 1533-position model. The record is from RNAcentral. Lineage: Bacteria; Bacillati; Actinomycetota; Actinomycetes; Micrococcales; Microbacteriaceae.